CCUACGGGCGGCAGCAGUGAGGAAUAUUGGUCAAUGGACGGAAGUCUGAACCAGCCAUGCCGCGUGCAGGAAGACGGCUCUAUGAGUUGUAAACUGCUUUUGUACGAGGGUAAACCUGAAUACGUGUAUACAGCUCAAAGUACUGUCCGAAUAAGGCUCGGCUAACUCCGUGCCAGCAGCCGCGGUAUUACGGAGGAUCCAAGCGUUAUCCGGAUUUAUUGGGUUUAAAGGGUGCGUAGGCGGAUUGAUAAGUUAGAGGUGAAAUGUCCGAGCUUAACUCGGGAACUGCCUUUAAUACUGGUGAGCUAGAGAGUAGAUGCGGUAGGCGGAAUGUAUGGUGUAGCGGUGAAAUGCUUAGAGAUCAUACAGAACACCGAUUGCGAAGGCAGCUUACCAAUCUAUAUCUGACGCUGAGGCACGAAAGCGUGGGGAGCAAACAGGAUUAGAUACCCGAGUAGUC
This 460-nucleotide ribosomal RNA is filed under the name uncultured bacterium. RNAcentral's name for it is "partial 16S ribosomal RNA". It matches the Rfam family "Bacterial small subunit ribosomal RNA", at positions 338 to 795 of the family's 1533-position model. The record is from RNAcentral.